GUUUAGACAAACUGUUUUCUCUAGAACAGUUGCAAUAGAUAGCCUACCAAUUUUGAAGUUACAGACACAUACUCGUGCAAGUUUAAGUUGAGAAAUGUUUAGUCGGCUUGCCAUAUUCGGUGUGUGCGCUAGAGUUAUUGCAUUUGGGAGGAGGUCUUGUGCGCGCUGCGUGUCCUCGUGCAUUUUUCCUGUUGUGUGUAUUUAUGCCAUAUUUCAUGCGGGUAUUAUUAGAGCUGGACGUUACUAAACUUAGCUUUAUUCUCUGCGUUAUUCAUCCUCUAAGUUUGUUCAUGCGUGGACAAAAAAGAAACGUCAACAAAUAGCCAGACCGACGAGGAAAAUGCCAAAAUAAGAAGGAAAAUAGCAUUGUAAACGAAGAAACGGAGACGUCUGAGAGCGAUGGCUUCCGUAGCCGGGAGCAAGAUUGUUUCCUUGAGGUGGAAAAAGAGCCAGGAAGGGGAAAAAGUUGUGGGAUAGGGAGGUUUGCUGAGGAGACUCCGUGGAGCCCAGAACUCAGGGGUCAAGUCCAGGUUUCCCCAGCCCCCAGCAUCCCUCCCGCUCUCCUCCUCUCCACAGAGAUGGACAGAAUCAGGCAGAGGCGUGAAGGGAUGGGGAGGAGAGGACAUGAGCCUCAAGUGAUAGAUUGACGCUUUAGAUGAGGAACGGUGGGAACGGAUAUUAUGGACGAAAAACAGUUUACUUUAGCAUUUUGCAGCCAACAUGCUUGACUUCUGCAGGGUUUGUUUUAUUUAUUUGUUUUGAUUAUUUUUUUUGUCUUGUUUUUAUAUGUCAGUAUUGAUAGUAAAGUGUUUUUCAUGUAAUGAGGGACACAACAACGACACACAAAUACUUGAGACUUUUUAGAAUAAGAUUACACAUGAAAAAAUGCAUUAGUUAACAGUAAACACAAAAAUGUAUUUUAAUAAUUAAUUCACUAUUGAAUUCACUAAUAAAUAUUUAUUCGCUUU
This 968-nucleotide long non-coding RNA is filed under the name Danio rerio (zebrafish). Its description in RNAcentral is "lncRNA (ENSDARG00000117706.1)". The record is from RNAcentral. Lineage: Eukaryota; Metazoa; Chordata; Actinopteri; Cypriniformes; Danionidae.